CUCUGCCUCUCUUCUCUUCUCCCUUCCCCCCUUCCUCCUUUCCUUUUCCCCUCCAUAACCCACUAAAAAAAGUAUUCAACCUCACUCUGCAUGGCGUGAUAAUAGCCUCAGACAUCAUGGAAGGAGAUCUUGGAAUAAUUACCUUUUCCUUUGUCCUUAGUGGGUUUGGUAGAGAUCCAUUCUGAAAGACAGAAAGGAUAAAGUUAAUGAUGAGGGUCAGGAUCCUGAACCGGGUUCUUUUUCCAUUCCCACCACCAGCUUCCCGGCUUCAAUCAGGCUUCAAUUGAGACAGGUUGACUCCCAGCAGCAGCACUCUGUCCCUCCAAAGAAAACAGAAGACAAACAAGCACAGAACAACAUCCUUCUGCAGUUGACUUCGACUGCCGAGCUCUGACCAUUGGGCAAAACUGCCUUUCACUUAAACUAAAGACCUCCAGACAUGGACAGAAUCGCUGGAAUCGACAGCCUAGCUACUCAGGUCAAGGUAGGCCUGUCUUCCUACAGAUUUCUUAGCCCACAGGAUCUUCUGGAGCCUGGCAGGCCUGGCGCUAAACAUCAAAGGUCAAGUGCAACCUUCAACGACCAUGGAGGACUCAAAACAGAAUAGCUCUGGAUGCCAACCAAGAUUAGAGACACCAAACAUUUCCAUGCCACCGACACCUAUUGGGAGCAAAGAGACCAGCUAUGCCAGGAUGUGGCCAACACCCAGCCUUCUCAGGGUUCAUUCCCCCCCAAAGAUGAUGCCCACAAAUAAGCCGGAAGCAGUCUUGAGAAUUCGCUGCUCCAAUUCCGUCAAACUGUGGUGUCUAAUCUCCUGCUUUUAUUAUAAUAAAGAACUGGGAAUGUUAUGGUUUUUGUCUCUUUAAGGGGCAAGCCACCCCCACUCCCGGCAACCCCUCCCUGCUGUUGCCAUCUUAGAUCUCUCACUGUCCCCCUCUUGGGGUAUGCGUGUAUGGGGUAAAGUGUCGGUCUUACUCCCCACUUCCCUCCUUUCUGUCUCUCUCCUCUCCUUCCUCUUCUCCUCCUUCUCCCACACUCUCUCUCCUUUAAGUAAUAAAUAU
Non-coding RNA from Myodes glareolus (Bank vole), 1061 nucleotides. The record is from RefSeq and is a predicted model, not a curated record. Lineage: Eukaryota; Metazoa; Chordata; Mammalia; Rodentia; Cricetidae.